This 497-nucleotide ribosomal RNA is filed under the name uncultured bacterium. Its description in RNAcentral is "partial 16S ribosomal RNA". It matches the Rfam family "Bacterial small subunit ribosomal RNA", at positions 28 to 507 of the family's 1533-position model. The record is from RNAcentral.
GAUGAACGCUGGCGGCGUGCCUAAUACAUGCAAGUCGAGCGAACAGACGAGGAGCUUGCUCCUCUGACGUUAGCGGCGGACGGGUGAGUAACACGUGGAUAACCUACCUAUAAGACUGGGAUAACUUCGGGAAACCGGAGCUAAUACCGGAUAAUAUAUUGAACCGCAUGGUUCAAUAGUGAAAGACGGUUUUGCUGUCACUUAUAGAUGGAUCCGCGCCGCAUUAGCUAGUUGGUAAGGUAACGGCUUACCAAGGCAACGAUGCGUAGCCGACCUGAGAGGGUGAUCGGCCACACUGGAACGUAGACACGGUCCAGACUCCUACGGGAGGCAGCAGUAGGGAAUCUGCCGCAAUGGGCGAAAGCCUGACGGAGCAACGCCGCGUGAGUGAUGAAGGUCUUCGGAUCGUAAAACUCUGUUAUUAGGGAAGAACAAAUGUGUAAGUAACUAUGCACGUCUUGACGGUACCUAAUCAGAAAGCCACGGCUAACUACGUG